AGACAAACAAACCCAACAUGUUCACUGACAACAAGAUCAAUGUGAUGCAAGUUCAAGCAAUUUUCAGGCACAAGACCGAGGGGUGGGGGUGUCUACCAAAACUGGAGAGCAACAAAUCUACAUAUAAGUUUGAUAAGCAGUAUCCUGUCAAGAGACUGUCAAGUAAAACAAAAGUAAAAUUAAAUAAUCUAAACAAGCAGGUGACAAAAACAUUUAGAUGUUACUUAAGGACUCAUUACUGAUACUGAAUUCUAAAGAUUUGCAUUUAAAUUGAUCUGAACUGCCUCUUUCAUCACAGAUAUCACAUUUCGGUUUGACUUCUACAAACUAACUCAGUUCAUAAACCUAAACUUAUCUUAUCAAGCGCAGGACGUGUGCAAAAUUUGUUUUGAUGACACACAAAUUUUAAAUAAAGUCAUCUUAAUGUUGUUACAGUUGGUUUUUUUAAAUGCCAUUUUAGUAAAUGCAGUUUUUAAUAGAGCCUAAAUAUUACAGAACUGAAUGAAAGGUCAGUUAAAAAUUGUUUACAAAUCUGACUAAACCAACCUAUUUGUGGUUUAAUAUAACUUAUAAUAAUUUUAGAAACAAUAAGAGCAUAGAUUUAACUGUUCACCACUGAACUGUGUUUGUAAAGCACCAACAAUGACAAUAAAUGUUUUGCAGGUUGCACUUUUACCCAUUAGACAUGUAGCACUAAGAAAGAAAGAAUGUAGAUUCUGUGUUUUAAGACUUUGAGACGUAUUCUUGGCAGUACACCGGCAGCUUGUUGUGACAACCUCAUGCAUGGGGCAACACUCGGGGCAUAAAAGGUGUUAACACUCAGCGAGGGCCCAAAACAGAGCAUGAACAAUGAAAUGAGGCGCUGAUAAAAACUUGCCAAACCUGCCCUAAAACUUUCACUAAUCUACAGAAUCAAAAGGAGAUCUGUUUAACACCAAACAGCCGACAGAGACAGCAGAGGAAGGAGGAAGUCACCUUUUUUACAGAUUGUCACACAGCUCAUUCAUGACUCUGAUGACAGCAGGGCUCUUCAGAGAUUGUGUGACCAGAAGAGAGUCUUCAAGUGCAGAUGAUGAGAUUGGUUACUUGUCUGAACAAUGAAAAAUGUCUAUUGGGAUGGGAGAGAACUCACUUCGGACUAAAACUCACAUAUAAUCUAAGAGGUGAUGAUAUGAAACACAGUGGAGACGAGGAAGAGGGCACACAGGCCCAUGCCGUACACCCAGGCAGUGAUCUUCUCCCAGCCGUUGUCCGACAGACGGUGCAGCAACGCCAUGCCCACGAAGGCCGGCACAAUGAGGAGCUACAGAGAUGGAACGAAAUCACAGAGCCAUUAAAACAACGUAUUUGAGAUGAUGUCAUCUACAUAGAAAAAGUUCAUUCAAGCCACUCACUGCAUGAGUGUAGCAGUUGGCAGCAUGCUCAUAGCAGGUGGGCUGGUAGCGGCAGUUAGUAGAAGCCCGUCUGUUCAUGAAUCUGAAACACACACACACACAAAUAAACAAAAAAUAAACAACUAUGGAAGGCU
Molecule: long non-coding RNA, 1528 nt
Organism: Siniperca chuatsi (mandarin fish)
Lineage: Eukaryota; Metazoa; Chordata; Actinopteri; Centrarchiformes; Sinipercidae
Exons: 2
Source: RefSeq, a predicted model, not a curated record